CCUACGGGAGGCUGCAGUCGAGGAUCUUUCGCAAUGGGCGCAAGCCUGACGGAGCGACGCUGUGUGAGUGAUGAAGGCUUUCGAGUCGUAAAACUCUUUUGUCUGGGAACAAGAAAGAUUCGUGAAUAACGGGUCGAUUUGAGCGUACCAGAAGAAAAAGCACCGGCUAACUACGUGCCAGCAGCUGCGGUAAUACGUAGGGUGCAAGCAUUAAUCGGAAUUAUUGGGCGUAAAGGGCGCGUAGGCGGAUUGAUAAGUCAGAUGUGAAAUACCAA
Molecule: ribosomal RNA, 275 nt
Filed under: uncultured bacterium
Lineage: Bacteria
Description: partial 16S ribosomal RNA
Rfam family: Bacterial small subunit ribosomal RNA
Source: RNAcentral